Molecule: long non-coding RNA, 475 nt
Organism: Wyeomyia smithii (pitcher-plant mosquito)
Lineage: Eukaryota; Metazoa; Arthropoda; Insecta; Diptera; Culicidae
Exons: 3
Source: RefSeq, a predicted model, not a curated record
GGAAAUUUAAAGCAAAACCGAAACAUAGCACCCGUAGUUCCAUCUGUCACCGGAAAAUCGAGCAAAGAUAACAAAAAAAUCAUUGGCUAGAACCUUUUUUCUGCCUUGUACACUUCUUUUCAUUAUCACAAGUUGUGGUUUUCUUCGAAACAAGUGAAACUUUGUCUCCUAUUAGUAAAAAUACAAACAUGAGGAUGAAACUUGAAGAACAAUAGUAACUGAAUUGCAAAGAUCCGACGUUUCGGCCAUUGGUUGCGGCCUUUUUCAAAAGAAUUUUUUGAAACGGCCCUCUUAGAACAUUGCAUAUAACACCAAAUCCGCUCCACAUUAGCAGAAACCAUGAUAUUGGACCGUACUCUAAACCCAUAAAUGCUCCCAGAAUUAAAGUGUUUCUGCAUCAACACCGUUAAGCACCAAACUGGCGUCGGUGGAAUCAAUACGCAGGACUUCCAGAUCCAGUGAAACCAAUACAAGA